This is a non-coding RNA of Ophidiomyces ophidiicola, 78 nucleotides long. NCBI's taxonomy places the organism in Eukaryota, Fungi, Ascomycota, Eurotiomycetes, Onygenales, Onygenaceae. The record is from the annotation of a RefSeq genome assembly.
GUACUGAGAAACAUGAUUGGCAGUGGUAACGCUUGACUUGUAAUCAAGAGGCCCGCGGUUCAAUCCCGCGUCGGGGCA